RNAcentral lists this transfer RNA (77 nucleotides) under Gammaproteobacteria bacterium AqS3. It matches the Rfam family "tRNA". Rfam says of the family: Transfer RNA (tRNA) molecules are approximately 80 nucleotides in length. Their secondary structure includes four short double-helical elements and three loops (D, anti-codon, and T loops). Further hydrogen bonds mediate the characteristic L-shaped molecular structure. tRNAs have two regions of fundamental functional importance: the anti-codon, which is responsible for specific mRNA codon recognition, and the 3' end, to which the tRNAs corresponding amino acid is attached (by aminoacyl-tRNA synthetases). tRNAs cope with the degeneracy of the genetic code in two manners: having more than one tRNA (with a specific anti-codon) for a particular amino acid; and 'wobble' base-pairing, i.e. permitting non-standard base-pairing at the 3rd anti-codon position. Lineage: Bacteria; Pseudomonadati; Pseudomonadota; Gammaproteobacteria. The record is from Rfam by way of RNAcentral.
GCCCCGGUAGCUCAAUCUUUGGAUAGAGCACCCCAAUGACGACGGGAAGGUUACAGGUUCGAAUCCUGUCCGGGGCA